GUGAGUCAUCGAAUCUUUGAACGCACAUUGCGCCCUUUGGUAUUCCGAAGGGCAUGCCUGUUCGAGCGUCAUUAUCACCCCUCGGGCCCUGUGCUCGGUGUUGGACGGCCGGUUCGGGCGACCGAACCCCUCCUAAAGACAAUGACGGCGGCCUGUGGUUCCCCCGGUACACUGAGCUUUUUACGAGGCACGUGCCGGACGAGGGCGCCCAGGACCCGGUCCUCUCCUCUCAGCAGGAAACUUCUCAUGGUUGACCUCGGAUCAGGUAGGAAUACGCGCUGAACUUAAGCAUAUCAAUAAGCGGAGGA
RNAcentral lists this unclassified non-coding RNA (308 nucleotides) under Herpotrichiellaceae sp. Its description in RNAcentral is "partial contains 5.8S ribosomal RNA, internal transcribed spacer 2, and large subunit ribosomal RNA". The stretch from base 1 to 71 matches the Rfam family "5.8S ribosomal RNA", at positions 84 to 154 of the family's 154-position model. The record is from RNAcentral. Lineage: Eukaryota; Fungi; Ascomycota; Eurotiomycetes; Chaetothyriales; Herpotrichiellaceae.